UACGUAGGGUGCGAGCGUUAAUCGGAAUUACUGGGCGUAAAGCGUGCGUAGGCGGUUCCUCAAGUCCGUUGUGAAAUCCCCGGGCUUAACCUGGGAAUUGCGUUGGAGACUGCAAGGCUGGAGUCUGGCAGAGGGGGGUAGAAUUCCACGUGUAGCAGUGAAAUGCGUAGAGAUGUGGAGGAACACCGAUGGCGAAGGCAGCCCCCUGGGUCAAGACUGACGCUCAUGCACGAAAGCGUGGGGAGCAAACAGG
This 253-nucleotide ribosomal RNA is filed under the name uncultured bacterium. Its description in RNAcentral is "partial 16S ribosomal RNA". It matches the Rfam family "Bacterial small subunit ribosomal RNA", at positions 524 to 776 of the family's 1533-position model. The record is from RNAcentral.